Molecule: non-coding RNA, 213 nt
Organism: Hydra vulgaris (swiftwater hydra)
Lineage: Eukaryota; Metazoa; Cnidaria; Hydrozoa; Anthoathecata; Hydridae
Source: RefSeq, a predicted model, not a curated record
GAUCUGUUACUAAAGUUACAGAUCUUUACAAACAUGCUGUUAAUUUCAUAAUUGAGAAAUGGACACAAAGUUUUGGAGACGAGCCCUCGAUGUACAAGAGAAGCAUAGAUCAAGAAGAAGUCAAAGAAACAGUUGUUCGCGCCGUUGAAAUGCUCAUGGAUGUUAUCAUAAAAGAUAUGUAAUAUGCUAACAAAUAAAUAAAUUGUUCAUGUA